Lolium perenne is the source of this 3920-nucleotide non-coding RNA. Lineage: Eukaryota; Viridiplantae; Streptophyta; Magnoliopsida; Poales; Poaceae. The record is from RefSeq and is a predicted model, not a curated record.
GUGAAGAGCCAACAGUCAAAGCGGUGGUAGACAUAACUCAACUGCAGCCGCAUGUGCGCUCAUAGUUUCACUCCAGAAUCUUCCCAUCCUCUCUCGAUUUCUCCACUGAGAGCUGCGAGACGAGGCCGCCGAAGAUGCAGCCAGGCGGAGGAGUGGAGGACGUGCAGAGGGCGGCCCGUGGAACGGCGUCGCGGCGGUUGCGAGUCGUCGGAGGGAGCCAACGGGCUUCUCUGCCGGCGAGCAACAGCGUUGGAGAACCUUGGAGCUCGCCAAAAUCGUGGUGAUGGCGGCGGCUUCAGAGAGGAAUCGGGAAGGAGACCUUCCUGGUGUCGGCCGGAAAGUAGGUCUCUCUUCCACACCUCCGCCGACGACGGCGACCAGCACCGCCGAUGGGAUGGAUACCCCGCAUAGGUGUAGGCGGCGCUCUAUGUGUGGACGUCCGAGCCAGAGCUGUGCAGGAGCGGCAUAGGAUGCUGCUCCAGAGCGCCCACAUCUCCUCCCCAACUGGCCCGCUCGCCGCUCCUUGCUUCUUCCCGAGCGUCACGAAGGCCUCGAUGGGCUUCGUCCAGCGCGCGCUUGUGAUUCGGCGAUGCAACCGCCUGUUCCUUCCGCGCGCCCCGCUGUGGACCUCCUUGGGCGCCGCACCGGCAGGGAGUUUCACCAGCGCGCCGCCCCUGACCUCGCGAGCACGCCACUCACGUUCGCGGCCUCACCAACGCGCUGCCCCCGAUGUCCACCAGCGCCGCUCUGAAUUCCUGAGCGCGUUGUUCCAGACUACCGAGCAAGCCGCUCCGCAUCUCCAACGAGGAAGGCUGCCGGAGGGUUCUUCCACGAACGCUGGCCCCAGGUAUUCCCUUCCAUAGCGAGCUGCCAUGCCCGGGUUUCAUUGUUCCUGUCUCUCCCCUGCCCAACUCCCUGUGACAGCCGGCCGUGGCGUGGGUUGCUGCAUCGUCUCACUUGGACGGCGGCCACCGCCCACAAUGGUUAGUCUGCAGUGUGUGCUCUGGGCAACCAGUGGAACCACCGCCUGCUCUAGAUAUGGGAGGCGUUGUUUCCUAGAAGCCGCCUUCGACCACCAGAAGACGAGCACAAACAGCCCGCGAGUUCAUCGGCACCAUAGCGGUGGAUACCGUCAGAGCGGCGGUUCGUGGAAAAGGAGUAAUGCUGCGGUGCUCUGCCUACUUGCCGUCUUGCUGAAGCUUGACGACGAUGUCAUCGAUUGGAACGAGUAAAGUUCCCUACCCCGUCCCCCUCCCAGCAAUGAGCCUGUUCCUCACUUUUCUUCAUUUCGUAGUAGAGAAAUGAUCGUAUUGGAGCUCAUACUUGGACAUGGAUGCAAGUGGUGGAAGACAUUGCUGGAGAUUUGGCACUCCCGUUCAAUACCAAGGCAAUCAAAUGGAAUAUAUCUGGUGUGCCUCAAAAUAAAAAUAUCUUCGGAGGAAGAGUCCAUUUAAUGAUGUGGGUAGUUGCCUGCGGACUGCGGUAUGCAUACGGGUGAACUCCUUGCACUCCGGCGGUUGGAUCCAAGGCCCCUGGUAGAUUUUCAUUCGGCUCACCAUCAUCAGCGAGACAAGCCUGUGUGCCUGUGUGUGCUCUGUGGUGUUCAGAAUUGAGGAAGACUUCUGUGGUUAUGCUGAAAUUUAGGAUACACCAUACAGCACUGCAGUCUGCAGUUGCAGUUCCCCCUUGGUACUUCAUCGAUUGGAGCCUUACGGCUAGCAAGAGAUUAGUCAUUGCUUGAAGUUUUGAAGUGGUGUGCAUACAGUACAGAAAAAUUAAUUGUUUAUAGGUUCGCGAGUAAUCUAUCAACCUGUUAUCUCAAUAAGGAAGAGACAAGUUUUUAAAUUCAACAGUAACCGGAAUUGAAGAAAUUGAAAGGGCUUGGAGCUGAUGGAUUGGUUUGUUCAUGAAGAAGUAUUUGAAAGACCUCCGAUGAAGCUCGAAAACUGAGUCGUCUCUACUGUUUUAGCAUCACAACCAAUUCCAAUAAAAGAACGAAUGAAGCGAGGAAUGCGCCAACAUACGCUUUCAGGUGAUGCCUAAAUGUAUUCUGAAAAAUAAAAUUCAGGUUUGUGAUAUAAGAUUCCUGUCACACAUCACUUUACUUUGGCAGUACUGUUUAGAGCUGACAAACUAAUCUUAGAACAUGCAAGUCCACUGUGCUUCUGUCAUACAUUUGUAAGCCAAUACUUAUAUAUCACAUGCAAAAAGGAGGUGGCCCGGGCAAACAGAAAAUGUGCUUUCUUUCCCUGCUUCUCUUCUGUUCAUAUGUACAGUGAUGAUCAUGGAGAUAGAUUGUUCUUUAUUAAGCGGAUAUUUCCUUGAUAUGUUAUAUUUUUUCACUACAUACUGUCCAACAUGAAUGUUCAAGUAUGCUUAUAUAAGAUCAAAUUGUAUAUUUAUUGCAAUUUCUUUAGAUUAUUUAUGUUCAUUUUACUGCUGAUUGUAGCACUACAGUUUAGAGAUGCAUCAAUUCGUUUUUUAGUUAAAAAAAUGGGGACUAUCUUAUAAAUCCACUAAGCAAAGUGGAGCUUACAGUUAUAGGACUGUCAUUAGUUCUGUAUGAACAAGAAUAUACAUAUAUAUGGUCUUUUUUUGCUUUCCAUUGCGAGAUAAAUACGGAGAAAGAUAUAUGUUAGAACUCAUUGUAGUCUUGCUCCUUUUUUAUGAUAUUCAUGCUCCAUCUCAGUAAAGACAUUUUCUUUCUCAGUAAACACAAUUUCCUGUGGGUUGAAACAUGUUUCGAGAAAUCUAAAUCAUCAUGCCAGGUCCCUAUCUAAAUGCAUUGGUAGGAUGGUCUAUUCUCUAUAAUUUGGGGAGUACUAUAAAUAUAUUGCAGAAACUCAUUUGUUGCUUCCAUUUUGGCUACCACCUAUGAUAGGCAUGUCAUUCUGUUAAGCAGCAACUAAUUUAUUUUUCAGUGCCUCUUUGGUUCAAAUUGCGGAACCCACAUUGCACUGCCUCACUGUUUCAAAAUGGUGCACUUAUAUAGUUACAGUAUCCUGUGAAAUUAAGUACUUGGCCAUUGAUGUAUGUUCGCCUUAACCAUCGGCCAUUGUGGUCUGGACCACAUGAACCAGCAUCUUAUCACAUGAUAUUCUUUACCAUGUAAUCCAGUGAAGAUGUUGUUAUCCACUUAAGUAUCACAACUUAUAUUAUGUUCCUUAUCAUAUUUCUAAUGAAUUUUCAGAGACACUGAUCUUGAAACUGCUGCAAUUCAACAGCCUAUGAACAAUCGAACAUACAUUAUGUAACCAUACCUUCAUGCCUUGGAUCUUUCCACUAUACAGAACAAUAGCCCAGUCAUUGUUGAUCAUCCGUUUACUAUUAGACCUCCACAUCAGCCGUAAUUUAACAUGAUUUAAAACAUCCUUUAUUCGGUUUUGAGCAUAACAAUUCAGUGAAAAUAAUAAUUCAGCUUUGAACAUAUUUUCCUCUGCAACGUUAGGGUGCAUAUGGUCAUUGCGUAAUAAAAUGUGAUUUCAGGGAGUACAAUGGCUAGGUGUUCAGGAAAUCCUGAGAAGGAUUGGAGUACAAUCAGAUCUUGGAAGAUCCUUUGCAUGGACAAACACUCAGCUCUUCUAGACAAGAACUUGCUACUUCUGCGGGGACCUCCUGAAGAUUGCCUGGACCUGAAUCUUCUGCUGUUGGGAUCUGUCAUUUGAAAUCCAUCCAUCCACCAGUGAAUCAUGUUGAUCGUUGGCGUCAGGAGAUUGCCUAUGAGAAAUUCAUUCAGCGAGCACAUAAGCUUCAGUUCUAAAAAACUGUAAAAUCAAGUUUCCUCUAUAGAUUUUCUUAUUUCUUCCUUCGUGUACUUGACGGAUGAGCUCUGCUAAAAAAAACUGGCACACUUGGGGUUACAUUUUAAAUGAAACCAGGAGACACGGCCCCUUUAAUUCUAAAAUAAACAUCAUUUAUUC